This 456-nucleotide ribosomal RNA is filed under the name Enterobacter hormaechei. Its description in RNAcentral is "bacterial SSU rRNA". It matches the Rfam family "Bacterial small subunit ribosomal RNA", at positions 1 to 453 of the family's 1533-position model. Lineage: Bacteria; Pseudomonadati; Pseudomonadota; Gammaproteobacteria; Enterobacterales; Enterobacteriaceae. The record is from RNAcentral. RNAcentral also lists the same sequence under 2 other names.
AAAUUGAAGAGUUUGAUCAUGGCUCAGAUUGAACGCUGGCGGCAGGCCUAACACAUGCAAGUCGAACGGUAACAGGAAGCAGCUUGCUGCUUUGCUGACGAGUGGCGGACGGGUGAGUAAUGUCUGGGAAACUGCCUGAUGGAGGGGGAUAACUACUGGAAACGGUAGCUAAUACCGCAUAACGUCGCAAGACCAAAGAGGGGGACCUUCGGGCCUCUUGCCAUCGGAUGUGCCCAGAUGGGAUUAGCUAGUAGGUGGGGUAACGGCUCACCUAGGCGACGAUCCCUAGCUGGUCUGAGAGGAUGACCAGCCACACUGGAACUGAGACACGGUCCAGACUCCUACGGGAGGCAGCAGUGGGGAAUAUUGCACAAUGGGCGCAAGCCUGAUGCAGCCAUGCCGCGUGUAUGAAGAAGGCCUUCGGGUUGUAAAGUACUUUCAGCGGGGAGGAAGGUG